Molecule: ribosomal RNA, 1481 nt
Filed under: uncultured organism
Description: SSU rRNA
Rfam family: Bacterial small subunit ribosomal RNA
Source: RNAcentral
CAUGACGAACGCUGGCGGCGUGCCUAAUACAUGCAAGUCGAACGAACUCUGGUAUUGAUUGGUGCUUGCAUCAUGAUUUACAUUUGAGUGAGUGGCGAACUGGUGAGUAACACGUGGGAAACCUGCCCAGAAGCGGGGGAUAACACCUGGAAACAGAUGCUAAUACCGCAUAACAACUUGGACCGCAUGGUCCGAGCUUGAAAGAUGGCUUCGGCUAUCACUUUUGGAUGGUCCCGCGGCGUAUUAGCUAGAUGGUGGGGUAACGGCUCACCAUGGCAAUGAUACGUAGCCGACCUGAGAGGGUAAUCGGCCACAUUGGGACUGAGACACGGCCCAAACUCCUACGGGAGGCAGCAGUAGGGAAUCUUCCACAAUGGACGAAAGUCUGAUGGAGCAACGCCGCGUGAGUGAAGAAGGGUUUCGGCUCGUAAAACUCUGUUGUUAAAGAAGAACAUAUCUGAGAGUAACUGUUCAGGUAUUGACGGUAUUUAACCAGAAAGCCACGGCUAACUACGUGCCAGCAGCCGCGGUAAUACGUAGGUGGCAAGCGUUGUCCGGAUUUAUUGGGCGUAAAGCGAGCGCAGGCGGUUUUUUAAGUCUGAUGUGAAAGCCUUCGGCUCAACCGAAGAAGUGCAUCGGAAACUGGGAAACUUGAGUGCAGAAGAGGACAGUGGAACUCCAUGUGUAGCGGUGAAAUGCGUAGAUAUAUGGAAGAACACCAGUGGCGAAGGCGGCUGUCUGGUCUGUAACUGACGCUGAGGCUCGAAAGUAUGGGUAGCAAACAGGAUUAGAUACCCUGGUAGUCCAUACCGUAAACGAUGAAUGCUAAGUGUUGGAGGGUUUCCGCCCUUCAGUGCUGCAGCUAACGCAUUUAGCAUUCCGCCUGGGGAGUACGGCCGCAAGGCUGAAACUCAAAAGGAAUUGACGGGGGCCCGCACAAGCGGUGGAGCAUGUGGUUUAAUUCGAAGCUACGCGAAGAACCUUACCAGGUCUUGACAUACUAUGCAAAUCUAAGAGAUUAGACGUUCCCUUCGGGGACAUGGAUACAGGUGGUGCAUGGUUGUCGUCAGCUCGUGUCGUGAGAUGUUGGGUUAAGUCCCGCAACGAGCGCAACCCUUAUUAUCAGUUGCCAGCAUUAAGUUGGGCACUCUGGUGAGACUGCCGGUGACAAACCGGAGGAAGGUGGGGAUGACGUCAAAUCAUCAUGCCCCUUAUGACCUGGGCUACACACGUGCUACAAUGGAUGGUACAACGAGUUGCGAACUCGCGAGAGUAAGCUAAUCUCUUAAAGCCAUUCUCAGUUCGGAUUGUAGGCUGCAACUCGCCUACAUGAAGUCGGAAUCGCUAGUAAUCGCGGAUCAGCAUGCCGCGGUGAAUACGUUCCCGGGCCUUGUACACACCGCCCGUCACACCAUGAGAGUUUGUAACACCCAAAGUCGGUGGGGUAACCUUUUAGGAACCAGCCGCCUAAGGUGGGACAG